AUGAAAGUUGGGAACACCCGAAGCCUGUGUCCUAACCGCAAGGAGGAAGCAGUCGAAGGUGGGUUCAAUGAUUGGGGUUAAGUCGUAACAAGGUAAC
This 97-nucleotide ribosomal RNA is filed under the name uncultured bacterium. RNAcentral describes it as "partial 16S ribosomal RNA". It matches the Rfam family "Bacterial small subunit ribosomal RNA", at positions 1404 to 1500 of the family's 1533-position model. The record is from RNAcentral.